GAAUAUUGGACAAUGGGGGAAACCCUGAUCCAGCCAUGCCGCGUGAGUGAAGAAGGCCUUAGGGUUGUAAAACUCUUUCGGCGGGGAAGAUGAUGACGGUACCCGCAGAAGAAGCCACGGCUAACUCCGUGCCAGCAGCCGCGGUAAUACGGAGGGGGCUAGCGUUGUUCGGAAUUACUGGGCGUAAAGGGCACGUAGGCGGCACGUUAAGUCAGGCGUGAAAGCCCUGGGCUCAACCUAGGAAUUGCGCUUGAGACUGGCGAGCUAGAGACCGGGAGGGGGUGGCGGAAUUCCCAGUGUAGAGGUGAAAUUCGUAGAUAUUGGGAAGAACACCAGUGGCGAAGGCGGCCACCUGGACCGGUUCUGACGCUGAGGUGCGAAAGCGUGGGGAGCAAACAGG
RNAcentral lists this ribosomal RNA (400 nucleotides) under uncultured bacterium. Its description in RNAcentral is "bacterial SSU rRNA". It matches the Rfam family "Bacterial small subunit ribosomal RNA", at positions 359 to 776 of the family's 1533-position model. The record is from RNAcentral.